This is a non-coding RNA of Capsicum annuum, 1797 nucleotides long. The record is from Rfam. Lineage: Eukaryota; Viridiplantae; Streptophyta; Magnoliopsida; Solanales; Solanaceae.
UACCUGGUUGAUCCUUCCAGGAGUCAUAUACUCUUCUCAAAUAUUAAGCCAUACAUGUGUAAGUAUAAACAAAUUCAGACUGUGAAACUGCGAAUGGCUCAUUAAAUUAGUUAUAGUUUGUUUGAUGGUAUCUACUACUUGGAUAACCGUAGUAAUUCUAAAGCUAAUACAUGCAACAAACCCUGACUUAUGGAAGGGCUGCAUUUAUUAGAUAAAAGGUCAACGUGAUCUUAGCCCAUUUCUACGAUGAUUCGUCAUAACUCAACGGAUCGCGCAGCCAUCGUCCUGGCGACGCAUCAUUCAAAUUUUGUACGCUAUAAACUAUCAAUGAUAGGAUAGGUGCCUACCAUGAUGGUGACGGAUGAUGGAGAAUUAGGGUUCAAUUCUGGAGAGGGAGUUUGAGAAAUGGCUACCAUAACUAAGCAAGGCAGCAGGCGCGCAAAUUACCCAAUCCUAACAUGGGGAGGUAGUGACAAUAAAUAACAAAACCGGGCUCAAUGAGUCUGGUAAUUGUAAUGAGUACAAUCUAAAUCCCUUAAAAAGGAUCCAUAGAAGGACAAAUUUGAUACCAACAGCUGCGGUAAUUUCAGCUUUAAUAGCAUAUAUUUACGUUGCUGCAAUUAAGAAACUCGUAGUUGGACCAUGGGUUGGGCUAGUUGGUCCGCCUAUGGUGUGCAUUGGUUGUCUCGUCCCUUCUGUCAGUGAUGCACUCCUAGCCUUAACUGGCCGAGUCAUGCCUCCAGCACUGCUAAUUUGAAGAAAUUAGAGUGCCUAAAGCUAGCCUACGCUCUGUAUACAUUAGCAUGGGAUAACAUUAUAGGAUUUCGGUCCUAUUUCGUUGGCCUUCGGGAUCAGAGUAAUGAUUAACAGGGAUAUUCGGGGGCAUUCGUAUUUCAUAGUCAGAGGUGAAAUUCUUGGAUUUAUUAAAUACGAACAACUGCGAAAGCAUUUUCAAAAGAUGUUUUCAUUAAUCAAGAACGAAAGUUGGGGUCUUGAAAAUGAUCAGAUUAACCAUAAAUGAUACCAACCAGGGAUUAGUGAAUGUUGCUUUUAGGCCUCUGCCAGCACCUUAUGGGAAAUCAAUAUUUUUGGGUUCCGGGGGGAAUAUGGUCGCAAGGAUGAAACUUAAAGGAAUUGACGGAAGGGCACCACCAGAAGUGGAGCCUGUGACUUAAUUUUACUCAACAUGGGGAAACUUACUAGGUCCAUACAUAGUAAGGAUUGACAGACUGAGAGAUCUUUCUUGAUCCUAUGGGUGGUGAUGCUUGGCCAUUCAGAGUUAGUAGAGAGAUUUUUCUGGUUUAUUCUGUUAACGAAAGAGACCUCAUCCUGCUAACUAUCUAUGCGGAGGUAUCCCUUUGGGGCCAGCUUCUUAGAGGGACUACAACCUUUUAGGCUACAGAGGUUUGAGGAAAUAAUAGGCCUAUGAUGCCCUUAGAUAUUCUGGGCUGCACGCGUGCUACACUUAGGUAUUCAAUGAGUUUAUAGCCUUGACCGACAGGCCCGGGUAAUCUUUGAAAUUUCAUCGUGAUGGGGAUAGUUCAUUGCAAUUGUUGGUCUUUAAUGAGGAAUUCCUAGUAAGCGUGAAUCAUUAGCUCUCAUUGACUACGUUCCUGUACUUUGUAAGCACCGCCCAUCACUCUUACCGAUUGAAUAAUCCAGUGAAAUGUUUGGAUUAAGGCGACGUGGGGGGGUUUUCUUUCUGCAAAGUCGCUAGAAGUCCAUUGAACCUUUUCAUUUAGAUGAAGGAGAAUUCGUAACAAGGUUUCCUUAGGUGAACCUUUGGAAGGAUCAUAU